GGGUGUGAUGACAAAGCGUCAUCAUAGGCAUGACGGAUGGUCGGGCCACCAUCC
Molecule: non-coding RNA, 54 nt
Filed under: Desulfobacteraceae bacterium
Lineage: Bacteria; Pseudomonadati; Thermodesulfobacteriota; Desulfobacteria; Desulfobacterales; Desulfobacteraceae
Description: Li+-I sequence
Rfam family: nhaA-I RNA
About the family: Acidobacteria, Alphaproteobacteria, Betaproteobacteria and Gammaproteobacteria, Verrucomicrobia, cand. division NC10. Downstream gene
Source: RNAcentral